This 274-nucleotide ribosomal RNA is filed under the name uncultured bacterium. Its description in RNAcentral is "partial 16S ribosomal RNA". It matches the Rfam family "Bacterial small subunit ribosomal RNA", at positions 523 to 796 of the family's 1533-position model. The record is from RNAcentral.
AUACGGAGGUUGCAAGCGUUAAUCGGAAUUACUGGGCGUAAAGGGCGCGUAGGCGGUCUAUCAAGUCAGGUGUGAAAUCCCACGGCUCAACCGUGGAGGUGCAUCUGAAACUGAUAGACUUGAGUAUGGGAGAGGAAAGUGGAAUUCCCGGUGUAGAGGUGAAAUUCGUAGAUAUCGGGAGGAACACCAGUGGCGAAGGCGACUUUCUGGACCAAUACUGACGCUGAGGCGCGAAAGCGUGGGGAGCAAACAGGAUUAGAAACCCUUGUAGUCC